This 301-nucleotide ribosomal RNA is filed under the name uncultured bacterium. RNAcentral's name for it is "partial 16S ribosomal RNA". It matches the Rfam family "Bacterial small subunit ribosomal RNA", at positions 509 to 809 of the family's 1533-position model. The record is from RNAcentral.
CAGCCGCCACGGGAAUACGUAGGUGGCAAGCGUUGUCCGGAAUUAUUGGGCGUAAAGGGCUCGCAGGCGGUUUCUUAAGUCUGAUGUGAAAGCCCCCGGCUCAACCGGGGAGGGUCAUUGGAAACUGGGAAACUUGAGUGCAGAAGAGGAGAGUGGAAUUCCACGUGUAGCGGUGAAAUGCGUAGAGAUGUGGAGGAACACCAGUGGCGAAGGCGACUCUCUGGUCUGUAACUGACGCUGAGGAGCGAAAGCGUGGGGAGCGAACAGGAUUAGAUACCCGGGUAGUCCCUGUCUCUUAUAA